RNAcentral lists this ribosomal RNA (253 nucleotides) under uncultured bacterium. RNAcentral describes it as "partial 16S ribosomal RNA". It matches the Rfam family "Bacterial small subunit ribosomal RNA", at positions 524 to 776 of the family's 1533-position model. The record is from RNAcentral.
UACGGAGCUACCAAGCGUUGGUCGGAAUUACUGGGCGUAAAGGGGGCGCAGGCGGCCUGGUCAGUGGAAAGUGGAAGCCCGGGGCUCAACCUCGGAAGGCCUUUCCAUACUGCCUGGCUUGAGUUCGUGAGAGGGAAGCGGAAUUCAGGGUGUAGCGGUGAAAUGCUUAGAUAUCCUGAGGAACACCGAUGGCGAAAGCAGCUUCCUGGCACGGUACUGACGCUCAUGCCCGAAAGCGUGGGGAGCGAACAGG